UUUAAACAAACUGAGCCCCUAGAAGUUAAACCUAGGGCAACAGUUGAAAUGAAGCCUUAUUACCCUAGGCCUUCACCUGUUAAUCUACAAUAUGAAGAUACUUCGUACAAUUACGUACAAUUUGAUGGUUCUUCAAUUGUAGAAUGGAAUAUAGAUGGAUUAUCUGAAUAUCAGAUUAAAAAUGUAAUCCAUUACAUGACAAUGUACGCAAUGGCAGCAAGAGCUAAAGGCAAUAAUGAUCGCCAAAUUGCACAGGGCAUUGUAGCUGGUUUUACAGGCCAACUAAAAGGUUGGUGGGAUUUUUCCUUAUCUGAUGAAGGAAAAAGACAAAUCUUUGAUGCUGUUAAAACAGAGCAAAGACCAGAAGGUCAAACUCAAGUAUCAGACAGUAUGAAUACCCUCUUAUAUACCAUAGGGUUACAUUUCAUAGGAUCAAUGAGUCUGUACUUAGAUAAAUCUCAGGAACAGUUAAUGAACUUGCGAUGUCCUGAUCUAUCUCAUUUCAAAUGGUAUAAAGAU
Molecule: unclassified non-coding RNA, 519 nt
Filed under: Hevea brasiliensis (rubber tree)
Lineage: Eukaryota; Viridiplantae; Streptophyta; Magnoliopsida; Malpighiales; Euphorbiaceae
Source: RNAcentral